Molecule: ribosomal RNA, 555 nt
Filed under: Triticum aestivum (bread wheat)
Lineage: Eukaryota; Viridiplantae; Streptophyta; Magnoliopsida; Poales; Poaceae
Description: partial small subunit ribosomal RNA
Source: RNAcentral
AUGGCAGAAUGCUUCAAUAAGGUGCUCAAGGGUGUACGUGCAUUACCCGUGACGGCAAUAGUUCAAUACACAUUUGACAAGUUGAAUGAAUACUUUUUAAAGCACUCAAUGGAGACUGAUAAGCAGAUUGCUGGUGAGAACAAGGAUAAGCACAAGUACAAUUUCCCACCAAAGGUCGAAGAAUGGUUGGAAUUUCAAUCACGAAAGGCAGACUCCGAAGAAGCUGUACUAUAUGACGACAACGAGUGGAAGUAUGAGGUGAAAGAGCCCAGAGGAACCACAAACGAUUGCCGCCAACACGGAGGCCGGGCUUUCAAGGUCUCCCUAACACGGUGUGAUUGCAGCUGCAUGAGGCCAUCUUUGCUUCAUCUCCCAUGCUCGCACUUGUUAAAUGCAUCCCGGGUUAGGAAUGUGGACGUUAAUCACCCUCUUACCGUGAGGGAGUCUGAGUUCUCAAUCAUGACGGUAAAGAAUACAUGGACUCCACGGUUCCAGCCAUACUUGGACCAAUCACAAUGGCCGGAGUAUCAUGGAGUUCAACUAUGGCCGGACCCG